UGGGGAAUAUUGCACAAUGGGCGAAAGCCUGAUGCAGCGACGCCGCGUGAGGGAUGAAGGCCUUCGGGUUGUAAAGCUCUUUUGGCGGGGACGAUGAUGACGGUACCCGCAGAAUAAGCCCCGGCUAACUUCGUGCCAGCAGCCGCGGUAAGACGAAGGGGGCUAGCGUUGUUCGGAAUUACUGGGCGUAAAGCGAGUGUAGGCGGUUGUCCAAGUUGGAUGUGAAAGCCUUGAGCUCAACUCAAGAAAUGCAUUCAGGACUGGAUGACUAGAGGACCGGAGAGGAUAGUGGAAUUCCCAGUGUAGUGGUGAAAUACGUAGAGAUUGGGAAGAACACCAGUGGCGAAGGCGGCUAUCUGGACGGUUACUGACGCUAAGACUCGAAAGCGUGGGGAGCAAAC
RNAcentral lists this ribosomal RNA (401 nucleotides) under uncultured bacterium. Its description in RNAcentral is "bacterial SSU rRNA". It matches the Rfam family "Bacterial small subunit ribosomal RNA", at positions 355 to 773 of the family's 1533-position model. The record is from RNAcentral.